GACGAACGCUGGCGGCGUGCUUAACACAUGCAAGUCGAACGGAAAGGCCCUGCUUUUGUGGGGUGCUCGAAUGGCGAACGAGUGAGUAACAAGUGAGUAACCUGCCCUUGACUUUGGGAUAACUUCAGGAAACUGGGGCUAAUACCGGAUAGGAGCUCCUGCUGCAUGGUGGGGGUUGGAAAGUUUCGGCGGUUGGGGGUGGACUCGCGGCUUAUCAGCGUGUUGGUGGGGUAGUGGCUUACCAAGGCUUUGACGGGUAGCCGGCCUGAGAGGGUGACCGGCCACAUUGGAACGGAGAUGCGGCCCAGACUCCUACGGGGGGCAGCAGUGGGGAAUAGUGCACAAUGGGCGGAAGCCUGAUGCAGCAACGCCGCGUGCGGGAUGACGGCCUUCGGGUUGUAAACCGCUUUCGCCUGUGACGAAGCGUGAGAGACGGUAAUGGGUAAAGAAGCACCGGCUAACUACGUG
This 468-nucleotide ribosomal RNA is filed under the name uncultured bacterium. Its description in RNAcentral is "partial 16S ribosomal RNA". It matches the Rfam family "Bacterial small subunit ribosomal RNA", at positions 28 to 507 of the family's 1533-position model. The record is from RNAcentral.